UUAUCCGGAUUUAUUGGGUUUAAAGGGAGCUUAGGCGGACGUUUAAGUCAGUUGUGAAAGUUUGCGGCUCAACCGUAAAAUUGCAGUUGAUACUGGGUGUCUUGAGUACAGUAGAGGCAGGCGGAAUUCGUGGUGUAGCGGUGAAGUGCUUAGAUAUCACGAAGAACUCCGAUUGCGAAGGCAGCUUGCUGGACUGUAACUGACGCUGAUGCUCGAAAGUGUGGGUAUCAAACAGGAUUAGAUACCCUGGUAGUCCACACAGUAAACGAUGAAUACUCGCUGUUUGCGAUAUACAGUAAGCGGCCAAGCGAAAGCGUUAAGUAUUCCCCCUGGGGAGUACCCCGGCAACGGUGAAACUC
This 359-nucleotide ribosomal RNA is filed under the name uncultured bacterium. RNAcentral describes it as "bacterial SSU rRNA". It matches the Rfam family "Bacterial small subunit ribosomal RNA", at positions 541 to 902 of the family's 1533-position model. The record is from RNAcentral.